GAUGAACGCUGACAGAAUGCUUAACACAUGCAAGUCGAUGGGGAAGUGGUGCUUGCACCAUGGUAACCAUGGCGGACGGGUGAGUAACGCGUAAGGAACUUACCUGCGGGACCGGGAUAACAGCAGGAAACUGCUGACAAGACCGGAUAAGGUCAUUAAGCUGCAUAGCUUAGUGAUGAAAGGAGACGCCUGCGGAGAGCCUUGCGUCCUAUUAGCUAGUUGGAGGGGUAACGGCCCACCAAGGCGAAGAUAGGUAGCCGGCCUGAGAGGGUGGGCGGCCACAAGGGGACUGAGAUACGGCCCUUACUCCUACGGGAGGCAGCAGUGGGGAAUAUUGGACAAUGGGGGCAACCCUGAUCCAGCAAUUCUGUGUGCACGAAGACGGUUUUCGGAUUGUAAAGUGCUUUCAGCAGGGAAGAAGGAAGUGACGGUACCUGCAGAAGAAGCGACGGCUAAAUACGUG
This 463-nucleotide ribosomal RNA is filed under the name uncultured bacterium. Its description in RNAcentral is "partial 16S ribosomal RNA". It matches the Rfam family "Bacterial small subunit ribosomal RNA", at positions 28 to 507 of the family's 1533-position model. The record is from RNAcentral.